GAUGAACGCUGGCGGCGUGCCUAAUACAUGCAAGUCGAGCGAACAGAUGAGGAGCUUGCUCCUCUGACGUUAGCGGCGGACGGGGGAGUAACACGUGGAUAACCUACCUAUAAGACUGGGAUAACUUCGGGAAACCGGAGCUAUUACCGGAUAAUUUAUUGAACCGCAUGGUUCAAUAGUGAAAGACGGUUUUGCUGUCACUUAUAGUUGGAUCCGCGCCGCAUUAGCUAGUUGGUAAGGUAACGGCUUACCAAGGCAACGAUGCGUAGCCGACCUGAGAGGGUGAUCGGCCACACUGGAACUGAGACGCGGUCCAGACUCCUACGGGAGGCAGCAGUAGGGAAUCGUCCGCAAUGGGCGAAAGCUUGACGGAGCAACGCCGCGUGAGUGAUGAAGGUCUUCGGAUCGUAAAACUCUGUUAUUAGGGAAGAACAAAUGUGUAAGUAACUAUGCACGUCUUGACGGUACCUAAUCAGAAAGCCACGGCUAACUACGUG
This 497-nucleotide ribosomal RNA is filed under the name uncultured bacterium. RNAcentral's name for it is "partial 16S ribosomal RNA". It matches the Rfam family "Bacterial small subunit ribosomal RNA", at positions 28 to 507 of the family's 1533-position model. The record is from RNAcentral.